RNAcentral lists this long non-coding RNA (2157 nucleotides) under Homo sapiens (human). RNAcentral's name for it is "PREDICTED lncRNA (TCONS_00100434)". Lineage: Eukaryota; Metazoa; Chordata; Mammalia; Primates; Hominidae. The record is from RNAcentral.
CAGAGUCUCGCUCUGUCACCCAGGCUGGACUGCAGUGGCGCGAUCUUGGCUCACUGCAACCUCCGCCUCCUGGAUUCAAGCGAUUCUUCUGCCUCAGCCUCCCGAGUAGCUAGGAUUACAGGCAUGUGUCACCACGCCCGGCUAAUUUUGUAUUUUUAGUAGAGACGGGGUUUCUCCGUGUUGGUCAGGCUGGUCUCGAACUCCUGACCUCAGGUGAUCUGCCCGCCUCGGCCUCCCAAAGUGCUGAGAUUACAGACGUGAGCCACCGUGCCUGGCGGAAUUUUCAUAUUUUAAGUCCCCCACCCUUGGACAUUUAGAUUUUUUCCAUCUUUCUGUAUUUGCAGAUAUGCUUCUACGUACACCUUUAUUCAUUUGCUUGAACAUUUCCCUGAGAAAAACUAGAAAUGGAAUUGCCAGAUUACUUUGUGUACAUGUUUCCAAACUGUCCUCCAGAAAGAAUGUAAUGCUUUGAACUUCCACUUGAGAAUCAAAUGUUUACCUUCCUCUGUUCCUCCAGAUUUGGACAUUUACAGUGUUCAGCCGUUGUUGUGGCAUUCCAAUUCAAUUGGGAAACAGCUUGAUGUAGCGUCCCCAUAAGGUCCACAGUAAUUAAAUUUUUUUUUUUUUUUUUUGGUGCGGUAGUGCAAUUUCAUGGCUCACUGCAACCUCCACCUCCCAGGUUCAAGCGAUCCUCCCAUCUCAGCCUCCCUAGUAGCUGGGAUUACAGGUGCACGCCACCACACCAGGCUAAUUUUUGUAUUUUUAGUAGAGAUGGGGUUUCACCAGGUUAGCCAGGCUGGUCUUGAACUCCAGACCUCAAGGGAUCCGCCUGCCUCAGCUUUCCAAAGUGCUGGGAUUACAGGUGGAGACUGGACCUCAGAAGAGGGAGUGGGUGCCCCGAGAACUCACAGCUAGCGGACAGUGGAAAGGGCAGGAGCCGGACCAAGGUGAGGACAGUGGAACUGAAGGCCGCUGGUUACCUCUCCUGCCCUCCGCUGGCCACAGUGGAGAAGACAGCCCCUCCCUCCUGCUCUGACCUGACAGUGUUCAUCCAUCGCCCUGUAUUAGCGAAGAACAACAUCAAGCUGGCUAGCAAGGAACUGUAUACAGGGUCCAGCUGGGUAUCACACUGGAUCUCACCCAAAGCUUAGAUGUGAUCCAGCUCAGUAUCACAAAGCAGAACGAAAAGGAUGUGUUUGGGCUGAGAGGCCAUACAUUGGCUCCGGCAUGACGGGUGACUUCUUCCGAGUCUGGCUUCUGCAGCACACAGGGCUUCGCCAGCACCCAGCUCCUGCAGCAUGGGCAGCUCCUGUGACAGCAGGCGCCCGCAGCCUGCAAAGCGUCUCCAGUGCCGCCGCCUCAGUGAACCUCAACCAGCGGCACCUAGCAGCUUUCUCUGCCACCCUCUUCAGGUAGUUCUGUAGCAGCGCGUUUCUCAUGAGACACUUCCCUGUGAGCAGCUUUUUCUACCCUUGAGGAUGGAUUUCCAGCAAAUUCUGCCCAUGUGGUACCACAGCCACUUCUCUGCCAUUCAGUGAAACUGCCGUUGUGCCCUCUUCAAGGUCUGGAUCUAAGCCCAGGGACCAGGAAACCUCUUGCUUGAGUGCUGGAACUCAGGCCAGAAGGCAGGAAGCCCGCCUGACCCCAUGUCUCAGGCUGCCAGAGGAGCGUGCGAUGAGGAAGGCUGGACUGUCUUCACAGGACACCAGGGAGAAGCCUCAAGCCACUGCCCCCUGACAAGUCGCAGCUCUCCAGCCUGUCUCCUCACUCCCCUCCCCUCCACAUGGGGGGGUUGGGGUGGGGGCGGGGAAGGUUCGGGGCAGGGGUCAUUUCAGCUACUGGGCACCAGUCUCCUCCUCAUGUUUAUCCUGUUCCCUUUGCUUGAAAGGUUCGUACUCCAGAUCCUUGUAAAACCGCUUCUCACCCUUUGAGUCUCAGCUUAAAUGUCCCCUCCUUGGAGGGGUCUUCCCUGACAAUGAAGCUCCGACCGUCCUCUCCUGUUUUACCCAGUUCAUUUCUUUCUGGCAUUUGUAACUACUUGAAGUUAAAGUGUGUGCCAUGUAUGUGUCUGUCAGUUUCCCCCACCACACUGGAACCCCAUGAGGGCAAGGGUCUUGUCUGGAAUCUUCCUCACUUACAACUCAACAUUUAGCAAAG